CUUGGAGAGAUAGUAGACCGUAUAGCGUACGCUUUAUCUGUGACGUAUGUAACACGGUCCACUAACCCUCAGUAUC
Molecule: microRNA precursor, 76 nt
Filed under: Sus scrofa (pig)
Lineage: Eukaryota; Metazoa; Chordata; Mammalia; Artiodactyla; Suidae
Also listed under: 1 other name
Source: RNAcentral